RNAcentral lists this transfer RNA (72 nucleotides) under Diabrotica virgifera virgifera (western corn rootworm). It matches the Rfam family "tRNA". From Rfam's summary of the family: Transfer RNA (tRNA) molecules are approximately 80 nucleotides in length. The record is from Rfam by way of RNAcentral. Lineage: Eukaryota; Metazoa; Arthropoda; Insecta; Coleoptera; Chrysomelidae.
GCGAGUAUAGCUCAGUGGUAGAGCGUUCGACUGGAGAUCGAGAGGUCCCCGGUUCGAGUCCGUGUGUUUUCU